UAGAUGGAGGCCCGCUGGUUAAGGCACUUAGCUGUUAACUAAGAGUUUGCAGGAUCGAGGCCUGCCCAUCUAG
Molecule: transfer RNA, 73 nt
Filed under: Cryptopsaras couesii (triplewart seadevil)
Lineage: Eukaryota; Metazoa; Chordata; Actinopteri; Lophiiformes; Ceratiidae
Description: tRNA-Asn
Rfam family: tRNA
About the family: Transfer RNA (tRNA) molecules are approximately 80 nucleotides in length. Their secondary structure includes four short double-helical elements and three loops (D, anti-codon, and T loops). Further hydrogen bonds mediate the characteristic L-shaped molecular structure. tRNAs have two regions of fundamental functional importance: the anti-codon, which is responsible for specific mRNA codon recognition, and the 3' end, to which the tRNAs corresponding amino acid is attached (by aminoacyl-tRNA synthetases). tRNAs cope with the degeneracy of the genetic code in two manners: having more than one tRNA (with a specific anti-codon) for a particular amino acid; and 'wobble' base-pairing, i.e. permitting non-standard base-pairing at the 3rd anti-codon position.
Source: RNAcentral